UCUCUCUCGCUCUCUCUCUCUCUCUCUCUCUCUCUCUCUCUCUCUCUCUCUCUCUCUCUCUCUCUCUCUCUCUCUCUCUCUCUCUCUCUCUCUCUCUCUCUUGUACAAAUUCCAGAAAGAAAAAAAAACUUGAAAAAUUUCAGCAAUGGCGGCCAUUGGUAGUCGGAUCUGAUUUGUCUCAAGCUCCAUCAGCCACGCCCAAAGCCUGCUCCAACAGCAGCACCAGUGGCGGCGCCGCCCACGCCGGUGGCGGGAGCACCAAGUCCAGCACCAUCAGCCACCAUUACGCCGCCCGCAUCAUCUCCGCCGUCUGAUUCCCCCACCGCUUCUCCCGAUGCUCCUCCCACUUCUCACUGCCACUCCGUUGCUAACAGCCGCCCACCACCGCCCACCGCUCACCGCCGCCACCGUCACCGGUAAACUUAAUUUAUGCAUCAGUUUAAGAUGCUCCAAUAGCAGAAGAAAAAGGCUUCUUCUUUGAAGGGUUCUUAAUUAAUUGGGUUUGUUCUUCUUUUCUAUUUUGCUGAUUCGAUUUGUUAACUUAAUUGAUUUGAAUAUUCCAUGAAUCAGGUGAUAAGAUCUUCAAUUUCCUUUUUGCAUAUUUGUUUUGCUUGUGCUAAUUGUGAGCCUUGUGCUGAAUAUUAGGUUUUUAGGUUGAAAGGCAUCCUCUGUAUCAAAGUUAUCAUUUAUUUUUUAUUUUUUUAAUGAGAUUCUAGAUCUUUAAAAAUUAGGUUCCACUGAAGUUAAAUAGUUAGAUUCUACUCUAUGUUUUUUAUGUUUUUAGGUUGAAUUGCUCUAUUCUUUGUUAUACUGAAGCUAAACUGCAUCUUUCACACGAUUCAUAGGUAACCAUUGAAAAUUUCUGAUACGGUUUUAAAGAUAUGUGUUAGAUCCACGAACCUAAAAUGUUGAUACUGCAAAGUUACUAUACAUACCUAUUUUUAAGAAGAAAUUCUUCUGUGUGUGGAUGCAACUGUAUGUUAAUCGAUAUUUGUCGGUCGACGAUAAUUUAGUAACAUAUAGUAACAUGUAGUAACAUAUGCACGUGAUUGCGUAUUUUGAUUUAUAUUUAUUGGUUAUGAGUUGAUUUAUAUUAUAAAUAUUUAAAUUGAACCUUUUUUUCCCACAGGUUUUGGUGUUUGAACACCUUCUAUGCACUAAGCUUUUGCCGAGAGGACAUGUUGUUCGUCAGUUCGAAACAAUUACCGAUUAGAUCGAAGUUACUGUCGUGUUGAAAAGUAGGAUUUGAAGCCAUAAAUACAAACUAUACUAUAUACUCUUAUAGUCACAUGUGGUCAUAUACAUGUACUCAUAUAUAGUCACAUGUAGUCAUAUAUAAUCAAUCAUAUGUAGUCAUAUACAAGUAGUCAUAUAUAGUCACAUGUUGUCAUAUAGAUGUAGUCAUAUAUAGUCACAUGUAGUAAUAUAUAGUCACAUGUAGUCAUGUACAUGUAGUCGUAUAUAAUCAUAUGUAGUCAUAUACAAGUAGUCAUAUAUAGUCAUAUGUUGUCAUAUAGAUGUAGUCAUAUAUAGUCACAUGUAGUAAUAUAUAGUUAUAUAUUAGUUAUGUGGUUUUUCUGAUGUAUAGUGAUGUUGGUGUUUUUCUAAUUCUUUUGUUGGGUACUAAUUGAUUUAUAAUAUCAAGUUCCAAAUUGUGAAUUUUGUUGAUGUAGAC
This 1675-nucleotide long non-coding RNA is filed under the name Erythranthe guttata (spotted monkey flower). RNAcentral describes it as "long non-coding RNA (EGUT_LNC002674)". The record is from RNAcentral. Lineage: Eukaryota; Viridiplantae; Streptophyta; Magnoliopsida; Lamiales; Phrymaceae.